UUCAGAGGAACCUGUCCUAUAAUUGAUAGUCCACAAUUUAAAAAACUUAUUUUAUUAAUUUACAUAUCGCCGUAGUUUGAAUAUUCUUAAAGGAAAUUAAUAUUCAAAAAUUUAUAUUAAAAAUUAAAUCAGGUCAAGGUGUAGUUUAUAGGUAAGGAGAGAUGGGUUACAAUAAAUUUAUUUAAACGGAUGAUUAUUUUAAAUAUUAAUUUGAAGGUGGAUUUGAAAGUAAUUUUUAUAAAAUAAUAAAAAUGAUUUUAGCUCUAAAAUAUGUACAUAUCGCCCGUCACUUUCACUAUAAAGUGAAAUAAGUCGUAACAUAGUAGGUGUACUGGAAAGUGUACCUAGAAAGACAAAUUAGAGCUUGAUAUAAAGCAUUUUAGUUACAUUAAAAAGUUUAUUGUGAAAAUCAAUAUAAUUUGAGUAAAAGUUAUUAUUUAAAUUUUAAAUUUAUAUUUAUUUGAAUAAAAUAAUUUAAUGUUUAAUUAUUUAAUUAGAAAAAAUUUUUAUAUUAUAGUAAAUUUGUAUUGUGAAAGAAUUAAUUAAAAUUUUUUAUAGAAUAUUUUAUUUUUAGUACCUUGUGCAUCAGGGUUAAUUUAAAAAAUUUUAAUUAGUUAAUUUUCUCGAAUUUAAAAGAGCUAUAAAAUUAUAUUUUUUAUUGUUAUAUAAAUAUUAAAAAUAAUUUUAUUGUAAUGAAAUGUUAUUCGUUUUUAAAUAUAUCUAGUUUUUUAAGAAAUAAAUUUAAUUUAACUAAUAAAAAUAUUUAUUUAAAUUUUUAAUUAAAUAUUAUUAUUAUUAAAUAUUUUAAGGGAUGAGCUUUAAAAUAAAUUAUUAUAAAUUAAUAUUAAAUUUAGUUAAGUAGGAUUAAAAUUUUUUAUCUUUAAUAGUAUGUUAUAAUAAAUUUAUAUAAACAAUAAAAUUUAUAUUGAUUUUAAAUUUUUUAUUAAAAUAUUAAUUUAAAUUUUUUAUAUUAAGAAAUAAUGAUUAAAUUAGUAUAAAUUUAUGUAAUUUAUUUUAAAUUUUAGGUUAAAUAAAGGAAUUCGGCAAAUUAUUUUUCACCUGUUUAUUAAAAACAUGGCUUUUUGAUUAUAAUUUAAAGUCUGACCUGCCCAAUGAAAAUUUUAAAUGGCCGCGGUAUUUUGACCGUGCAAAGGUAGCAUAAUCAUUUGUUUUUUAAUUGAAAGCUGGAAUGAAAGGUUGAAUGAAAAAAUUACUGUCUCUAUUUAAAUUUUAAAAUUUUAUUUUUAAGUUAAAAAGCUUAAAUGAAUUUUGAAGACGAGAAGACCCUAUAGAGUUUAAUAAUUUAAGUUUUUAAUAGGUUUAGAAUUUUUAUAUAUUUAAUAAUUUAAUUUAUUUAGUUGGGGUGAUUAAAAAAUUUAUUUAACUUUUUUUGUAUUAUACCAUUAAUUAGUGAUUAAUUGAUCCUUAAAAAGAUUAAAAGAUUAAAUUACCUUAGGGAUAACAGCGUAAUUUUUUUUUAGAGUUCAAAUUAAAAAAAAAGAUUGCGACCUCGAUGUUGGAUUAAAAUUAAUUAUUGGUGUAGAAGCUAAAUAAAUUAGGUCUGUUCGACCUUUAAAAUUUUACUUGAUCUGAGUUCAAACCGGUGUAAGCCAGGUUGGUUUCUAUCUCAAAAUAGUUAAUAUAUUUUAGUACGAAAGGACCUAAAUAUUUUAUUAAUAAUUUUAUUUAAGAAUUAUAUUGUUAUUUUGGCAGAAUAGUGCGAUAGAUUUAGAAUCUUUAUAUGUAAUUUUACAAAUAAUAUUGUUAUUUAAAGAUUUUUUUAUAUUAUUAAUUUCUAAUGUAAUUUUAUCUUUAAGAGUAAUGUUAGGGGUAGCUUUUUUAACCUUAUUAGAACGUAAAGUAUUAGGAUAUAUUCAAAUUC
This 1882-nucleotide ribosomal RNA is filed under the name Ceratapion cylindricolle. RNAcentral describes it as "partial 16S ribosomal RNA". The record is from RNAcentral. Lineage: Eukaryota; Metazoa; Arthropoda; Insecta; Coleoptera; Brentidae.